ACAGGGCGUGAACCGCUUAGAAGUAAACAGGUGGUGCUGACAUUACGUUUGUCCGGAUUCAGCCGGUCCGACGGUGGGUUUUCGGUUAGUUGAUCGAAAGACAGCGAGUCGAUUGCUUCGUCUGCCUAGGAUUGGUGCACUUUCGGCAGACUGCGUCACGACCGCCAAUGCGUCCGGCAUAAGUUCGGUUUCUUGAAGACAGCGGGUUUCGGCCUGCUGUGACUAGGACUCCGUUACAGACCCGGUUUGCGUCGGCGGGAGUAGGCCGUGCCCGCUUCGGCUCUGUUUGCGUUGCUUCAUGGUCAGUCGGAAUACAGUGUUGUCUUCGGACGGCUCUGUGACUCCUGGCUGUGAUUAUGGCGUCUACAGAGUGGCACAAAUGGUCUGUGGCGUCCGCGUCAGUCUCCCACCUGACCCGUCUUGAAACACGGACCAAGGAGUCUAACAUGUGCGCAAGUCAUUGGGUGGAAAACCUAAAGGCGCAAUUAAAGUAAAGGUCAACUCGUUGGCCGAAGUGAGAUCCCUACUUCAGGUGGGGCGCAUCAUCGUCCCAUCGCAUCGGCUUGCCCGAACGGUGGAGAAAGAGCGUACAUGUUGGGACCCGAAAGAUGGUGAACUAUGCCUGAGCAGAUGAAGCCAGAAGAAACUCUGGUGGAAGUCCGUAGCGGUUCUGACGUGCAAAUCGAUCGUCAGACUUGGGUAUAGGGCGAAAGACUAAUCGAACCAUCUAGUAGCUGUUUCCUUCCGAA
RNAcentral lists this ribosomal RNA (749 nucleotides) under Diphtherophora geraerti. Its description in RNAcentral is "partial large subunit ribosomal RNA". It matches the Rfam family "Eukaryotic large subunit ribosomal RNA", at positions 392 to 965 of the family's 3401-position model. The record is from RNAcentral. Lineage: Eukaryota; Metazoa; Nematoda; Enoplea; Triplonchida; Diphtherophoridae.